UAGCAUGUCAGAAGGCAGACCCGGAGAACUGAAACAUCUUAGUACCCGGAGGAAGAGAAAGAAAAAUCGAUUCCCUGAGUAGCGGCGAGCGAAACGGGAAGAGCCCAAACCAACAAGCUUGCUUGUUGGGGUUGUAGGACACUCUAUACGGAGUUACAAAAGAACAUGUUAGACGAAUCAUCUGGAAAGAUGAAUCAAAGAAGGUAAUAAUCCUGUAGUCGAAAACAUAUUCUCUCUUGAGUGGAUCCUGAGUACGACGGAGCACGUGAAAUUCCGUCGGAAUCUGGGAGGACCAUCUCCUAAGGCUAAAUACUCUCUAGUGACCGAUAGUGAACCAGUACCGUGAGGGAAAGGUGAAAAGUACCCCGGAAGGGGAGUGAAAGAGAACUUGAAACCGUGUGCUUACAAGUAGUCAGAGCCCGUUAAUGGGUGAUGGCGUGCCUUUUGUAGAAUGAACCGGCGAGUUACGAUCUGAUGCAAGGUUAAGCAGCAAAUGUGGAGCCGCAGCGAAAGCGAGUCUGAAUAGGGCGUUGAGUAUUUGGUCGUAGACCCGAAACCAGGUGAUCUACCCUUGGUCAGGUUGAAGUUCAGGUAACACUGAAUGGAGGACCGAACCGACUUACGUUGAAAAGUGAGCGGAUGAACUGAGGGUAGCGGAGAAAUUCCAAUCGAACUUGGAGAUAGCUGGUUCUCUCCGAAAUAGCUUUAGGGCUAGCCUCAAGUGAUGAUUAUUGGAGGUAGAGCACUGUUUGGACGAGGGGCCCCUCUCGGGUUACCGAAUUCAGACAAACUCCGAAUGCCAAUUAAUUUAACUUGGGAGUCAGAACAUGGGUGAUAAGGUCCGUGUUCGAAAGGGAAACAGCCCAGACCACCAGCUAAGGUCCCAAAAUAUAUGUUAAGUGGAAAAGGAUGUGGCGUUGCCCAGACAACUAGGAUGUUGGCUUAGAAGCAGCCAUCAUUUAAAGAGUGCGUAAUAGCUCACUAGUCGAGUGACACUGCGCCGAAAAUGUACCGGGGCUAAACAUAUUACCGAAGCUGUGGAUUGUCCUUUGGACAAUGGUAGGAGAGCGUUCUAAGGGCGUCGAAGCAUGAUCGCAAGGACAUGUGGAGCGCUUAGAAGUGAGAAUGCCGGUGUGAGUAGCGAAAGACGGGUGAGAAUCCCGUCCACCGAUUGACUAAGGUUUCCAGAGGAAGGCUCGUCCGCUCUGGGUUAGUCGGGUCCUAAGCUGAGGCCGACAGGCGUAGGCGAUGGAUAACAGGUUGAUAUUCCUGUACCACCUAGUAUCGUUUUAAUCGAUGGGGGGACGCAGUAGGAUAGGCGAAGCGUGCUGUUGGAGUGCACGUCCAAGCAGUAAGGCUGAGUGUUAGGCAAAUCCGGCACUCAUAAGGCUGAGCUGUGAUGGGGAGAGGAAAUUGUUUCCUCGAGUCGUUGAUUUCACACUGCCGAGAAAAGCCUCUAGAUAGAUAACAGGUGCCCGUACCGCAAACCGACACAGGUAGUCAAGAUGAGAAUUCUAAGGUGAGCGAGCGAACUCUCGUUAAGGAACUCGGCAAAAUGACCCCGUAACUUCGGGAGAAGGGGUGCUCUUUAGGGUUCACGCCCAGAAGAGCCGCAGUGAAUAGGCCCAAGCGACUGUUUAUCAAAAACACAGGUCUCUGCUAAACCGUAAGGUGAUGUAUAGGGGCUGACGCCUGCCCGGUGCUGGAAGGUUAAGAGGAGUGGUUAGCUUCUGCGAAGCUACGAAUCGAAGCCCCAGUAAACGGCGGCCGUAACUAUAACGGUCCUAAGGUAGCGAAAUUCCUUGUCGGGUAAGUUCCGACCCGCACGAAAGGCGUAACGAUUUGGGCACUGUCUCAACGAGAGACUCGGUGAAAUCAUAGUACCUGUGAAGAUGCAGGUUACCCGCGACAGGACGGAAAGACCCCGUGGAGCUUUACUGUAGCCUGAUAUUGAAAUUCGGCACAGCUUGUACAGGAUAGGUAGGAGCCUUUGAAACGUGAGCGCUAGCUUACGUGGAGGCGUUGGUGGGAUACUACCCUAGCUGUGUUGGCUUUCUAACCCGCACCACUUAUCGUGGUGGGAGACAGUGUCAGGCGGGCAGUUUGACUGGGGCGGUCGCCUCCUAAAAGGUAACGGAGGCGCUCAAAGGUUCCCUCAGAAUGGUUGGAAAUCAUUCAUAGAGUGUAAAGGCAUAAGGGAGCUUGACUGCGAGACCUACAAGUCGAGCAGGGUCGAAAGACGGACUUAGUGAUCCGGUGGUUCCGCAUGGAAGGGCCAUCGCUCAACGGAUAAAAGCUACCCCGGGGAUAACAGGCUUAUCUCCCCCAAGAGUUCACAUCGACGGGGAGGUUUGGCACCUCGAUGUCGGCUCAUCGCAUCCUGGGGCUGUAGUCGGUCCCAAGGGUUGGGCUGUUCGCCCAUUAAAGCGGUACGCGAGCUGGGUUCAGAACGUCGUGAGACAGUUCGGUCCCUAUCCGUCGUGGGCGUAGGAAAUUUGAGAGGAGCUGUCCUUAGUACGAGAGGACCGGGAUGGACAUACCUCUGGUGUACCAGUUGUCGUGCCAACGGCAUAGCUGGGUAGCUAUGUAUGGACGGGAUAAGUGCUGAAAGCAUCUAAGCAUGAAGCCCCCCUCAAGAUGAGAUUUCCCAACUUCGGUUAUAAGAUCCCUCGAAGAUGACGAGGUUAAUAGGUUCGAGGUGGAAGCGUGGUGACACGUGGAGCUGACGAAUACUAAUCGAUCGAAGACUUAAUCAA
This 2756-nucleotide ribosomal RNA is filed under the name Staphylococcus epidermidis. RNAcentral's name for it is "bacterial LSU rRNA". It matches the Rfam family "Bacterial large subunit ribosomal RNA". Lineage: Bacteria; Bacillati; Bacillota; Bacilli; Caryophanales; Staphylococcaceae. The record is from RNAcentral.